RNAcentral lists this unclassified non-coding RNA (212 nucleotides) under uncultured Coniochaetales. RNAcentral describes it as "sequence contains ITS1". The record is from RNAcentral. Lineage: Eukaryota; Fungi; Ascomycota; Sordariomycetes; Coniochaetales.
CAAGAAGCCGAAAGGCUGCUUAAAACCAUUGCGAAUCUAUCCAUCAGCGUUGCUUCGGCGGGAGGAGGCCGUGGGGACGACGUCUGCAAGGACGCCGGCCGCGGGGCCGCGGACCCCACGCCUCUCCGGAGGUUGCGGGGCCCGCCCGCCGGAGGUACAAAACUCUUCUGCAUCUUUAGUGGCAUCUCUGAGUAAAGCAAGCAAAUAAGUCA